GCCGCGUGAGUGAUGAAGGUUUUCGGAUCGUAAAGCUCUGUUGCCAGGGAAGAACGCUAUGGAGAGUAACUGUUCCAUAGGUGACGGUACCUGAGAAGAAAGCCCCGGCUAACUACGUGCCAGCAGCCGCGGUAAUACGUAGGGGGCAAGCGUUGUCCGGAAUUAUUGGGCGUAAAGCGCGCGCAGGCGGUCAUGUAAGUCUGGUGUUUAAACCCGGGGCUCAACUCCGGGUCGCAUCGGAAACUGUGUGACUUGAGUGCAGAAGAGGAAAGUGGAAUUCCACGUGUAGCGGUGAAAUGCGUAGAGAUGUGGAGGAACACCAGUGGCGAAGGCGACUUUCUGGGCUGUAACUGACGCUGAGGCGCGAAAGCGUGGGGAGCAAACAGGAUUAGAUACCCUGGUAGUCUACGCCGUAAACGAUGAAUGGCUASGUGUUAGGGGUUUCGAUACCCUUGGUGCCGAAGUUAACACAUUAAGCAUUCCGCCUGGGAGAGUACGGUCGCAAGACKGAAACUCAAAGGAAUUGACGGGGACCCGCACAAGCAGUGGAGUAUGUGGUUUAAUUCGAAGCAACGCGAAGAACCUUACCAGGUCUUGACAUCCCUCUGACCGUCCUAGAGAUAGGGCUUCCCUUCGGGGCAGAGGUGACAGGUGGUGCAUGGUUGUCGUCAGCUCGUGUCGUGAGAUGUUGGGUUAAGUCCCGCAACGAGCGCAACCCUUAACUUUAGUUGCCAGCAUUGAGUUGGGCACUCUAGAGUGACUGCCGGUGACAAACCGGAGGAAGGUGGGGAUGACGUCAAAUCAUCAUGCCCCUUAUGACCUGGGCUACACACGUACUACAAUGGCUGGUACAACGGGAAGCGAAGCCGCGAGGUGGAGCGAAUCCUAAAAAGCCAGUCUCAGUUCGGAUUGCAGGCUGCAAC
RNAcentral lists this ribosomal RNA (923 nucleotides) under Paenibacillus sp. RNAcentral describes it as "bacterial SSU rRNA". It matches the Rfam family "Bacterial small subunit ribosomal RNA", at positions 396 to 1311 of the family's 1533-position model. The record is from RNAcentral. Lineage: Bacteria; Bacillati; Bacillota; Bacilli; Caryophanales; Paenibacillaceae.